GUGCUUUUGUGAUUACAGAAGCAAUAAGCGAGGACUGCAAGUUUCUCUGUGGGUUCUGGCCAUACCUAGAAGGGAGCCACUGAUGUCUAGAGAAGCAAAUGUUCAUCUACUCCCCUGCGAUGUACUUACACCCCUAAAUAGAGUUGAGACUUGGUCUCAACUCCAAAACACAAAUCGUCGCUGGACACUGCCAUACUGAAGCAAGAUGCCUCUCACUGCCAGCAUCAAAACAAAUUUCUCUCUUCAAAUACACAUUUUCCUGGACAGAAGACAUUAUUUAUGAUGGAAGCCUGCUGGAAGGAGAAGAGACUUUUUCCUGGCUCCCAGACAGCUAUGGAUCUGUCUGGGCUGUCAGGGAAUGACUUCCCUACAGACGAAUAUCAAGAUAACCAUACCUCAUGUGCAGUCUGGCAGAGGGGGGUGGGGGUGGGGGAGAAACACACAGAGAGAAACACACAGACAGAGAAACAGAGAGACAGACAGACCAAGAGACCAGAUGACAUUUCACCAAAUGAUCCUAUAUUGAAAGGGAAGGCAUCUUGUUCUGAACGACUGAAUGAUGAUUUCUUCAUAGCUCAAGACUUCUAGAGAAAAAAAGGAAAGAGCUUAGCUAGAAGAGCACUGAGAUAUCUAAUCACACUGCUCAAGUGCCUGUGAUAUUUUCACACCUGGAAAUUAGAAAAUAAUUAAGAAAAAAGACGGCUCCAAUGUUCAACUAGAUAGGCCUUAAAAUAUUUCCUUAAAGGUCAGUUUCAAAUUGCAGAAUAUAUUUCUACAAUAAAAUCACAAAACUAAUCGGUUAUUAUUUACAAUUUUAUAUAUACAUAAAAUAAUUUUUGUUAAAAUUUUUAUUUAUUUACUUAUUUUAUAUAUGUGAGUACACUGUAGCUAUCUUCAGAUACACCAGAAGAGGGCAUCGGAUCCCAUUACAGAUGGUUGUGAGCCACCAUGUGGUUGCUGGGAAUUGAACUCAGGACCUCUGGAAGAGCAGUCAGUGCUCUUAACUCUUGAGCCAUCUCUCCAGCCCUAUAAAUGAAAUUUUUAAAGGAAAUCCUCAUCUUUAAAUGGAUUUUUACCAUUAAAGCACCAGCCCAGCUACCUUGCUGCACUCCCAGAGGCAGCCGAAUGGAAAACGUUUGUUUCCGGUCAUGUUCCGAUUAGAGUUAUGAGACUGCCGCCUUUACCCCAUGCCUAAAGCACAAUCUCGAAUCCAAGGCCACUUCUGAGUGUCAGCAUCUGAGGAGUUCCACAGCCAGGUAUGCUGAUCCUUACUGAUUAUGACAUGCAGCUAUUCGGAUGAAUCAUCUUCUAACAUAGCUGAUUACGUUUUCACACUGAAGGCUACUGCAUCUCGCCACACUGUGCAACGCUGAAGGUGGGUUUGCUGGGACCAUCUCGCCAAGGCUGAGUUCUUUCAAUUGCCCUCUAACUAUGAGAGGCAUUUUGUACUAAAGACAACCACUAAGGCAAAGUGAUCGGUCGAUUCCUCUCUCAUGGCCAGAUGUGCUUUCUUGAGAGGGACACACUGAGAGUACCCCAUGAACAGGUCCCAGGAGAGGCCCAGGCAAGGGCAGUGAAAGCCAGCAGUCUGUCCUCCUCACUGUCGUGGUAGGAAGAGCUGAGGCAGGCGUGGUCCAGAUCAGGCCACAUAGCCCAUGUGCUUCUCUCUGAGGAGACAUCCCUGUCAUUUGCUGUUGUGUUCGCUGUCGUUGCUGGAGCCACGGAGUCACUCCAGAAGUAGGUGCCUCACAGAGAGACCCAGAUAAAACAGCAAAGCCUCUACGAGGUGCUGACCUCACUGCCGCUGCUGGCAGUGACCGGAAGUGAGCGGGAGCUCUGAGACUCUGUGGAACUUUCGGACACCAUCCUGGGUCAUAGAGUACUCAGAGUCAUUGGUUCCAAUCAGUCCCCAUUGGCCAGCAUUGCGGAGCCUCAAAUGUGGUCCAAGCACACGCUCCUGGGUCCCCCCCAUAUCACUUCAGUCUGCAAGAAGGUGGCAUGGCAUGGAGCUGGGAUGUUCAGGGUUCACUGUUGACCCAGCUUUCAGAAAUCCAGUUGGAGAUGCGAUCAUAAAUAAAAAGCGAACCCAUAUGGCUUUGUGUGGCCACAAAAAAUCCGAUGAAAAGCAUCCUAAGAGCAUGAUGGGAAAUAUGAUAUGGGCCAGAUACUAAAUAAAAGACAACGGCUUG
RNAcentral lists this long non-coding RNA (2189 nucleotides) under Mus musculus (house mouse). RNAcentral describes it as "predicted gene 10389". Lineage: Eukaryota; Metazoa; Chordata; Mammalia; Rodentia; Muridae. The record is from RNAcentral.